CAUAGGCGAUUUCUCUCGAGCCCUUUCGUCCCUAAUCUAAGUGUAAGUCAAUUUUUACUAGUUUUCUUCAAUCUUUAUCAUCUUCUAACAUGAUUUCAUCCUUAAACCAAAGCUUUCAUGGUUAAAAAUGGGGGAUUUGGGGUAGAACCUAGGUUUUCAUAAAAUUGGGGAUUUGGACCUCGAUUUGUGGUCUGAUUUCAAAACAAAUUGCAUAUAUGAACUCGUGGGGGAAUGGGUAACCCGGUUUUGGUUUGAACCUAGAGUUUUGACCAAGUGGGCCUUAAUCAUAUUAAUAUCAUAUUCUUAUGUGUCAUCC
RNAcentral lists this long non-coding RNA (316 nucleotides) under Nicotiana benthamiana. Its description in RNAcentral is "long non-coding RNA (NBEN_LNC036685)". Lineage: Eukaryota; Viridiplantae; Streptophyta; Magnoliopsida; Solanales; Solanaceae. The record is from RNAcentral.